GCGGACGUGGCGAAAUUGGCAGACGCGCGAGACUUAGGAUCUCGUGCCGCAAGGCGUGGGGGUUCGAGUCCCCCCGUCCGCACCA
This 85-nucleotide transfer RNA is filed under the name Planctomycetota bacterium. RNAcentral's name for it is "tRNA-Leu". It matches the Rfam family "tRNA". From Rfam's summary of the family: Transfer RNA (tRNA) molecules are approximately 80 nucleotides in length. Their secondary structure includes four short double-helical elements and three loops (D, anti-codon, and T loops). Lineage: Bacteria; Pseudomonadati; Planctomycetota. The record is from RNAcentral.